CAGUAGCUAAGUUUAAGUUUUCCCUGGUGGCACGUGUUCCCAUAGUCCAGUGUAUUUAACAUGGGCUUGGGACCACGGCCAUUUUGGGUCUUUUUGGCUAUGAACCAAAAGGGAUUGCAUUAAGGUCAGGGUAAAGCAUAGCAUUAUCAAUCCAAACUGCUGAUUUGUGAUUCUCCAGCUGUCCACAUGCAGUUCACUCAGGAUUCCUGCUUCACCAGAGCAG
Long non-coding RNA from Cygnus olor (mute swan), 223 nucleotides. RefSeq lists it as uncharacterized. The record is from RefSeq and is a predicted model, not a curated record. The transcript has 3 exons. NCBI's taxonomy places the organism in Eukaryota, Metazoa, Chordata, Aves, Anseriformes, Anatidae.